Molecule: ribosomal RNA, 253 nt
Filed under: uncultured bacterium
Lineage: Bacteria
Description: partial 16S ribosomal RNA
Rfam family: Bacterial small subunit ribosomal RNA
Source: RNAcentral
UACGUAGGGUGCGAGCGUUGUCCGGAAUUACUGGGCGUAAAGCGUGCGCAGGCGGUUCGUUGUGUCGGCGGUGAAAGCCCCGGGCUUAACCUGGGAAUGGCCGUUGAAACUGGCGAACUGGAGUGUGGCAGAGGGGGGUGGAAUUCCGCGUGUAGCAGUGAAAUGCGUAGAUAUGCGGAGGAACACCGAUGGCGAAGGCAAUCCCCUGGGCCUGCACUGACGCUCAUGCACGAAAGCGUGGGGAGCAAACAGG